AUUGAACGCUGGCGGCAGGCCUAACACAUGCAAGUCGAGCGAGCGGCGGACGGGUGAGUAAUGUUUGGGAAUCUCGCUUAUGGAGGGGGAUACCUACGGGAAACUGUAGCUAAUACCGCGUACCAUAGGAUGAGCCCAAGUGGGAUUAGGUAGUUGGUGAGGUAAAGGCUCACCAAGCCGACGAUCUCUAGCUGGUCUGAGAGGAGGACCAUCCACCCGGGGACUGAGACACGGCCCAGACUCCUACGGAGGGCAGCAGUGGGGAAUAUUGCGCAAUGGGGGCAACCCUGACGCAGACAGGCCGCGUGUAUGAAGAAGGCCUUAGGGUUGUAAAGUACUUUCAGCGGGGAGGCGUUACCCGCAGAAGAAGCACCGGCUAACUCCGUGCCAGCAGCCGCGGUAAUUC
This 406-nucleotide ribosomal RNA is filed under the name uncultured bacterium. RNAcentral's name for it is "partial 16S ribosomal RNA". It matches the Rfam family "Bacterial small subunit ribosomal RNA", at positions 30 to 526 of the family's 1533-position model. The record is from RNAcentral.